RNAcentral lists this unclassified non-coding RNA (282 nucleotides) under Glomus sp. Its description in RNAcentral is "partial contains 5.8S ribosomal RNA and internal transcribed spacer 2". The stretch from base 1 to 65 matches the Rfam family "5.8S ribosomal RNA", at positions 84 to 154 of the family's 154-position model. Lineage: Eukaryota; Fungi; Glomeromycota; Glomeromycetes; Glomerales; Glomeraceae. The record is from RNAcentral.
GUGAAUCAUCGAAUCUUUGAACGCAAAUUGCACUCUCUUCGGAGAGUAUGCCUGUUUGAGGGUCAGCCUAAAAAAAAGCGACGUCUUCACUGUUUCGCGGUAACAUUUGUCGGAUGUUGGGUCAUCUUAAACCUUUGGGUUUUUUAAGCGGCUUAAACUUUUCUUUACGAUUCCACGAACGUUUCUAAGAUUUUACUUCUUACACACGUUUAAGGUAGCGAUCUUUAUUAGACGUGUCCGUUGCAUCGGAUCGCCUUCAUAAAUAGUUCGUUAACUGACCUC